GCUGAUAGUGAGCGACUGGGGCAG
This 24-nucleotide microRNA is filed under the name Bos taurus (domestic cattle). RNAcentral's name for it is "bta-miR-2291". Lineage: Eukaryota; Metazoa; Chordata; Mammalia; Artiodactyla; Bovidae. The record is from miRBase by way of RNAcentral.